GGAGUGAAAAGGGUGACAGGUGCACCAAUGAAGUCGUGAGUUAAAGUGAUUAAGUAUUUAGGUAUAGCAUCUUUUAAACCUUUCUAAAAUUGUGUAGAAUGGAGGAAGAGGAUUUACGUAGUUGACUCAAAUGAGAUUCAGAUUGAGUUAUGACUCAAACUAGAUUCAGAUUGAGUUAUACUUCAUUUAUUGUACUUGUUGAUGAAAGUGACAUCUUGUAGAUCACGACUACCUCAACAAUCUGAUUGCAUUUGAAUACCUCUGACUCUCUCUCUCUAUCCUCAUAGUUAUUAAAGGCAUGCUUGGGGCUCUAGGCUCACUAGGUUCCAACCCUAGCACCUCUACAGGAGAAAGG
Molecule: unclassified non-coding RNA, 355 nt
Filed under: Hevea brasiliensis (rubber tree)
Lineage: Eukaryota; Viridiplantae; Streptophyta; Magnoliopsida; Malpighiales; Euphorbiaceae
Source: RNAcentral